GAUGAACGCUGGCGGCGUGCCUAAUACAUGCAAGUCGAGCGAACAGACGAGGAGCUUGCUCCUCUGACGUUAGCGGCGGGCGGGUGAGUAACACGUGGAUAACCUACCUAUCAGACUGGGAUAACUUCGGGAAACCGGCGCUAAUACCGGAUAAUAUACUGAACCGCAUGGUUGAAUAGUGAAAGACGGUUUUGCUGUCACUUCUAGAUGGAUCCGCGCCGCAUUAGCUAGUUGGUACGGUAACGGCUUACCAAGGGAACCAUGCGUAGCCGACCUGAGAGAGUGAUCGGCCGCACUGGAGCUGAGACACGGUCCAGGCUCCUACGGGAGGCAGCAGUAUGGAAUCUGCCGCAAUGGGCGAAAGCCUGACGGAGCAACGCCGCGUGAGUGAUGAAGGUCUUCGGAUCGUAAAACUCUGUUAUUAGGGAAGAACAAAUGUGUAAGUAACUAUGCACGUCUUGACGGUACCUAAUCAGAAAGCCACGGCUAACUACGUG
RNAcentral lists this ribosomal RNA (497 nucleotides) under uncultured bacterium. RNAcentral describes it as "partial 16S ribosomal RNA". It matches the Rfam family "Bacterial small subunit ribosomal RNA", at positions 28 to 507 of the family's 1533-position model. The record is from RNAcentral.